UGCCUUCAUGGGGGCAACCAGCGGUGGUGGCGGAGCCAUCUUCAGAUCGAUUGAAUUGGUCAGAGAUUUAAGAGAUCACCACACACACAACGGAUCUGCCGGCCGCACCAACAUUCCAGACGCUAGAUGCUGGACGCUGGACGACUUAUAUGAGGAUCUCCGGCGGUUGAUCUCUGCAUGUGUGUAACUUAAUUUGGUUCGAUUCGAAACAGACUCCGGAGAGUGAACAGAAGAAGCUAGCACAGCAAAGGGGAGAGAAAAGUGAUACAAAUAAAACCAACAUACUAAUUAUAGCAAAUGACAACAAAUUGAACGCUUUCUUUGCUUGGGAGUGAGGAAGUGCCUGCUGAUUCCUCCGUCCCCUCGGACAUGUGGUUAAUAUUCAACCUGAAUUUGUUUCAACUCCGAUCUCAAAUGACCGAACAAAUCUCAAGUUUGAAUGCAAUGCCCUAAUGAGUCAAUUAUCAAGAUAUAAACUAAUCACCACAUAUAAGAAUUUCAUCUCCGAUGCGUAUAAUUUUCAGGGAUACAAACUGAAUUGGAAAGAAAAUUGACAGCGUCUCAA
Molecule: non-coding RNA, 565 nt
Organism: Malus domestica (apple)
Lineage: Eukaryota; Viridiplantae; Streptophyta; Magnoliopsida; Rosales; Rosaceae
Source: RefSeq, a predicted model, not a curated record